AUACUUACCUGGCAAGGGAGAUACCGUGAUCAAGAAGGCGGUUCACCCAGGGCGAGGCUCAGCCAUUGCACUCCGGCUGUGCUGAC
This 86-nucleotide small nuclear RNA is filed under the name Salmo salar (Atlantic salmon). RNAcentral describes it as "U1 spliceosomal RNA". It matches the Rfam family "U1 spliceosomal RNA", at positions 1 to 87 of the family's 166-position model. From Rfam's summary of the family: U1 is a small nuclear RNA (snRNA) component of the spliceosome (involved in pre-mRNA splicing). Its 5' end forms complementary base pairs with the 5' splice junction, thus defining the 5' donor site of an intron. The record is from Rfam by way of RNAcentral. Lineage: Eukaryota; Metazoa; Chordata; Actinopteri; Salmoniformes; Salmonidae.